GUGAAUCAUCAAAUUUUUGAACGCAAAUUGCACUCUCUGGCAUUCCGGACAGUAUGCCCGUUUGAGGGUCAGUUUAAAUAAAAAUAGAGGUGUUGCUGUUUUGUGACCCAUCGGAAUUGGGUUGUCUUUGACAUUUUAAAAAUUUUAAGUGACCUAAAAUUGAUACCUUGUGCAUCUCUGACUUACAUAAGUAUAUUUUUGUCUCCGUCCGGAGUUGCCACCUUUUUAUUAGGAAUGACCAGGCUGUUUGUGGCAUCGUG
RNAcentral lists this unclassified non-coding RNA (260 nucleotides) under Glomeraceae sp. RNAcentral describes it as "partial contains 5.8S ribosomal RNA and internal transcribed spacer 2". The stretch from base 1 to 71 matches the Rfam family "5.8S ribosomal RNA", at positions 84 to 154 of the family's 154-position model. The record is from RNAcentral. Lineage: Eukaryota; Fungi; Glomeromycota; Glomeromycetes; Glomerales; Glomeraceae.